GAUGAACGCUGGCGGCGUGCCUAACACAUGCAAGUCGAGCGAUUCUCUUCGGAGAAGAGCGGCGGACGGGUGAGUAACGCGUGGGUAACCUGCCCUGUACACACGGAUAACAUACCGAAAGGUAUGCUAAUACGAGAUAAUAUGCUUUAUCGCAUGGUAGAAGUAUCAAAGCUUUUGCGGUACAGGAUGGACCCGCGUUUGAUUAGCUAGUUGGUAAGGUAACGGCUUACCAAGGCGACGAUCAGUGGCCGACCUGAGAGGGUGAUCGGCCACAUUGGAACUGAGACACGGUCCAAACUCCUACGGGAGGCAGCAGUGGGGAAUAUUGCACAAUGGGCGAAAGCCUGAUGCAGCAACGCCGCGUGAGCGAUGAAGGCCUUCGGUCGUAAAGCUCUGUCUCAAGGAAGAUAAUGACGGUACUUGAGGAGGAAGCCCCGGCUAACUACGUGCCAGCAG
This 456-nucleotide ribosomal RNA is filed under the name uncultured bacterium. RNAcentral describes it as "bacterial SSU rRNA". It matches the Rfam family "Bacterial small subunit ribosomal RNA", at positions 28 to 514 of the family's 1533-position model. The record is from RNAcentral.